UACGUAGGGGGCUAGCGUUGUCCGGAUUUAUUGGGCGUAAAGAGCGUGUAGGCGGCCAGGUAGGUCUGCUGUGAAAACUCGAGGCUCAACCUCGAGACGUCGGCGGAAACCAUCUGGCUAGAGUCCGGAAGAGGAGAGUGGAAUUCCUGGUGUAGCGGUGAAAUGCGUAGAUAUCGGGAGGAACACCAGUGGCGAAGGCGACUUCCUGGCCUGUUCUUGACGCUGAGGCGCGAAAGCUAGGGUAGCAAACGGG
This 253-nucleotide ribosomal RNA is filed under the name uncultured bacterium. RNAcentral's name for it is "partial 16S ribosomal RNA". It matches the Rfam family "Bacterial small subunit ribosomal RNA", at positions 524 to 776 of the family's 1533-position model. The record is from RNAcentral.